Peromyscus californicus insignis is the source of this 4315-nucleotide long non-coding RNA. RefSeq lists it as uncharacterized. The record is from RefSeq and is a predicted model, not a curated record. Lineage: Eukaryota; Metazoa; Chordata; Mammalia; Rodentia; Cricetidae. The transcript is spliced from 5 exons.
UGCUGGGUGGGAUCCGGCUCCCGGCUUGCAGCGGUGUCCACAGCUCCGGUCGGGAGCGCAGGUCGGAUCUGGCGCCCACGGUUCGCAGCGGGAACGGAAUCGGGGACUGUGCGGGUGGAGCCCCGGUUUCCACCUGCGGCUUCUUUUAACCGCGCCCUACCCCGCCUCUGCCUGACGCCGCACGGGAGGGCUGCGGGAGAGGAGCGCGGGCACACGUCGGUCGCGCCAGCCAGCCGAGGUGCGCACCGCCCUCCCUCCGGGCUGGGGGCGCGGGGCGGGUCCCCUUUUGUGGAGCAGGGAGCAGGGGGGCCUUCCUUAUAGGGUUAGGGGAUCAGGGCGGGUCCGUCUUAGGGGGCGUAGAUUAGAGGACUCAGGUGAGACCCUUCCUCUGGGGUCAGGGACCACGACGUGUCCCCUAGGAGAGGUACCAGCCUAAGCGCCAGGCUUGGGUUGGGGACACAAGGCAUGUCCCUUCUCGUGGAUGUGGGUGGAGCGUGGACCGCGAUGGGCAAGCUCAGCCAGGUCCCAACAAGGGCAGGGAAGAGUUGCCCGCUGAGGCCCUGCUGGGACUGGACACUGGAGGGCUCAAGUAAUGAGAAUGACAUGAUCUUACUUCUGGUUCUGGCUCCUUGUAAGACAGUGCCAGAUGCAGGCCAGUGGAAGAUGCUCCAGGACCACACAGGACAGAAGUCAGACAAAAGAGCCCCGAGGAUUGCCUUAUUACACAGGUGUCUGAAGAGGAGCCCUCUCAACAAAUAGUUAACUUUGUUGUUGUUGUUGUUGUUGUUCAGAUCAUCUAUGCUGGCUCAGAGGUCUUUGAUCUUGUCAUGUAUUUCUUACCACUUACCCUUAUUGUUCAAUUUUCACUCCUCAUCGGGAAGGCUUGUUGCAGCAGAAAUUCAUGUAGACCAUGUGAGCUUACUGAUUUGAUGAGCUUCUCAUUAGGAAACUGAAAAGUCAGUUAACUAAACAUGUGGUACAAAGACGCCUGGCAUGGUGACAGAUCAUGUGGAUUUGUGUCAGACAUGAAAACUUUCAGGAGCCAGCUACAAUGUGACCACCAUCAGAAAGCACUGUACCACACUGAGAAAGAUCCUUGUAGACUUGGUUGUAACUGGGGACCUGAAUUAGUUUGAUUACUCCCUCCCCUGGCAUUGCAAUGGUGAUUUCUAAGGCCCUACAUUUAAUGAGUACAAAAUGCGCAAGGUGUGGAUUCUGCAAUAUGAGAUGGGAAGAAAUGAGCACAAGAGGCUCUUUUGAGCAUUUCUCCCCUGAGAGUCCUCUUGUCCCUUUGCAAAAGGAGCAGAAGGGAGAGACUGCCACGCCCUCUGCCUGGCAGCUGGUACAUGUGCUCAAGGAUGGGGUCCUGUCCCAUUGCUCAGGCAUUCACUGUCGAAUCUGGAAACACAGGACCAGAUUGCGUUUUCCCUGGCAUAGUUCUCCAUGCCUGGAAGAGAGGAAAAUAACGUAGUUUUUGAAAUAAAAGCUAACAUUUGUCUAUUCAUUCAACAGAAGACUCACGUUGUAUUUAGUAGACUCCCUCCUUGGGGUUUUCAGAUUCUGUCUGCAGGAUUGGAUAGGGGUUAAAUGCUUCGAGAGAAUGACCAUGGAAGGAAAGAGUUACCUUCCACACAUCAUAUCAAAGGCACAUACCAGUCCCUGACUGCUAAUGCCCAUCUUGGCCAAGUGGCUGAGGUGGUGCCUGUGAGCUCUUGCCCCUGUAAGGUCACUCUUCCCCGCUUCCACAUAGUACUUCUCUGAUGAGAUCACUUGCACAGCCUGUACCUAAGGUGUGGGAUGUCUGUUAGUUUUUGCAGAUGUAUUUUGUCAGUUCUUCCAAUCACUUUUUUUUUUUUUCCGAGACAGGCUUUCUCUGUGCAGUUUUGGUGCCUGUCCUGGAUCUGGAUCUCGCUCUGUAGACCAGGCUGGCCUCGAACUCACAGAGAUUCGCCUGCUUCUGCCUCCUGAGUGCUGGGAUUAAAGGCAUGCGCCACCAGCACCUGGCCCUCCAAUCACCUUUUUAUAUCAGCACACACUCGUGCGUAUUUAUUCUGUUCUUUGCAUUACAACCCCAUGCUACCUUCAUUAUUGUGAUGUUCAGAUUGUUUCCACCUUCCCCUUGACUCCUGCUUCCCCUUCGCUGUGCACCCACAACUGUGUGUAUAUAAGCAUGCUGCAGCACUGUCUGUCUGUCCCUACGAGAUGCUGCAGGCUCACCUUGGAAACUCCCGGCUACAGCCCUAGAGUCAGCCAUUUCUCUAAGGAGCUGUGUCCCUUUACUGGUGUUCCACUGGAUGACGCAUGUCUUCUUAGUCAUCGCUGGUCUUCUUGCUCAGCUGGAUACCUUGCUGACAGCAUCCUCUGGCUCUUCAUAACCCCCGUACAAGCACAAGUGCUGUGUUUGGUGUACUCUGGGAUCCCAGCAGGUGUUUGUCAAGGGAAUGCAUUCAAGAAGUGUUUAUUGGACUGGAGAUGUAGCUCGGAUUGGUAGAGUCAUCUGGAAUGCAUGAAGCCCUGGGUUUGAGCAACUUCACAGCCUAAAACUAGGUGUGGUUGCAGACACCUGUAAUCCCAGCACUCAAGAUGUAGAGGCAAGAGGAUCAGAAAAGUGUAUCCUCCACUAUAUAACAGGGUUUCUCUGUGUUGUUUUGGUGCCUGUCCUGGAUCUUGCUCUGUAGACAAAGCUGGCCUUGAACUCAGAGAGAUCUGUAGUGGGUAGCUGUUUCAGCUUUGACCUGGAAGUACUACCUCCACUGAGUUUUCUGGUAACUGCCAUGCCUACGAGGCAAGUGACAGGAGCCCAGAAGACCUGAGAUCGGGAUGUGCAGGCGCUCUUGGUUCCUGGAUCCUGGACGCUGGAGGUAGACUGAACAGAGUUCUCCAGAGAACACCGCCGGACUGCGCUACACCUUUCCCGGACCCUGUAACCUAUCCCUUCACUUGACCACCUACCCAGGGUGGCACCACCCACAAUGGGCUGGACCCUCCCACGUCAAUCAUUAGUCAAGAAAAUGCCCCACAGACUUGCCUACAGGCCAAGCUGAUGGAGGCAAGAACCACAACAAACAUCUCCCCAAAGAUGCUGACACAUAAGCAUGUGAGGAUGUCCAAUGUAACAUCUCACCAAGGAAACACAAAUUAAAACAGCGGUGAAGAUGCCACUACACACCUUUAGAAUGGCCGAAAUUCGGAACCCUGAUGACACCAAGUGCUAUCAAGGAUGUAGAGCAACAGGGACUCUCAUCACUCAUGGGAGUGUGAAACUUUGAAAGACAGUUCGACAUUUUCUUUUUUUACCCAAGCAAGUCAGAACUGAUGCUCACACAAAAACUUGUAAGGAUGUUUAUAGAAGUUUUAUUUAUGAGUGGCAAAACUUGGAAGCAAACAAAAUGGCCUUCCUUCUACAAGUGAAACAAACUGUGGUACGUCCAUACAAUGAAAUAUUAUUCACCAGUCAAAAAAUCCACCAUGGAACACUAGAAAACACGUGGAGGAACUUGGUGUGUGCUUUGCUGAAUGACACAAGGCAGCCUGGAAAGGCCAUGCACUUUAGGAGUCUUACAAUCUGAUAGUUGGAAAUGGUGAAAUUCUUGGGACAGUAAAAAGAUCAAUGGCUGUGAAAGGUUGCUGGAUGGAAGAAGGAGAAAGUGAGGCACACAAGGGUUUUAGAUAGUGAAACGGUUCUGUGAUGCUCUAAUGGGGAGCACACAGCAUUAUACAUCUGUCCAAACUCACAGAGAGUCGUAUGCCAAGUGUGGGCACUGAACUGGACUUUAGUGAAUAAUAGUUUAUUGGCAUUGUCAUACCAGCUGUAACCAACACACCAUCUCAGUGCAGGACGUGAAUAACAGAGGCACUUGGGAGAAGGGGCUUGUGGGGACUUUAUGCAGCGUGCUUAAUUUUUCUGUAAAUGUGAAAUUGCUCUCAAAAUUGCUCUCUUGUCAGGUCUGGUGAUGCCCAAUGUUUAAUUCCAGCACUCAUAAAUUACAGAGGCAGGAGGAUUACAAGUUUGAGGCCAACCUGGGCUGCAUAGUGGCUUCAAGGCUAGCUUGAGCACCAUAGGAAGACUGCCUCAAAAAAGACCAAGGGCUGAAGAUCAGCCCAGGGGUAGAGAAUUCACAUGUGUGAGGCCCUGCACCACAAAAAGUAAAAUACAAUAAGUAACAGUGAAAUCUACUAAUUAAAAAGCCCUUGGUUCUUUAAUGUUAGGUCUUGUAUUAAUUAACAGAAGCACAUUCUAUAACAGCAUUUAUAUAUAAAUAGGAAAAUAAAAUGUACAAGCAUUUUCUUAUCUUAAUAAAUGUGUUGUUUAUUA